AGGGGUGUGGAAAGAGGCAGAACA
RNAcentral lists this microRNA (24 nucleotides) under Homo sapiens (human). RNAcentral's name for it is "hsa-miR-6747-5p". The record is from miRBase by way of RNAcentral. Lineage: Eukaryota; Metazoa; Chordata; Mammalia; Primates; Hominidae.